UGGGGAAUUUUGGACAAUGGGGGAAACCCUGAUCCAGCCAUCCCGCGUGUGCGAUGAAGGCCUUCGGGUUGUAAAGCACUUUUGGCAGGAAAGAAACGUCAUGGGUUAAUACCCCGUGAAACUGACGGUACCUGCAGAAUAAGCACCGGCUAACUACGUGCCAGCAGCCGCGGUAAUACGUAGGGUGCAAGCGUUAAUCGGAAUUACUGGGCGUAAAGCGUGCGCAGGCGGUUCGGAAAGAAAGAUGUGAAAUCCCAGAGCUCAACUUUGGAACUGCAUUUUUAACUACCGGGCUAGAGUGUGUCAGAGGGAGGUGGAAUUCCGCGUGUAGCAGUGAAAUGCGUAGUUAUGCGGAGGAACACCGAUGGCGAAGUCAGCCUCCUGGGAUAACACUGACGCUCAUGCACGAAAGCGUGGGGAGCAAACAGG
RNAcentral lists this ribosomal RNA (429 nucleotides) under Acidobacteriota bacterium. RNAcentral describes it as "Acidobacteria bacterium partial 16S ribosomal RNA". It matches the Rfam family "Bacterial small subunit ribosomal RNA", at positions 355 to 776 of the family's 1533-position model. Lineage: Bacteria; Pseudomonadati; Acidobacteriota. The record is from RNAcentral.